This 475-nucleotide long non-coding RNA is filed under the name Canis lupus familiaris (dog). RNAcentral's name for it is "lncRNA (ENSCAFG00845027107.1)". The record is from RNAcentral. Lineage: Eukaryota; Metazoa; Chordata; Mammalia; Carnivora; Canidae.
GUCAGGUGACGUCCUACGUCCGCCCCUCCCAGCCUCACCGGGUCGGGGCCCAGCGCGCUCCCAACCGCCCCCGGGAGCCCCGGUUGACCGCAGCUUGGCUCCGCCUACUUCGCCUACCCCGAGUGGCGGCCGCGUGGGGGUUUCAGCCCAUGCCUUAACUGACAGAGGACUGAGCCAGGUGGCCGAGGAAGCGGGUACUGAAGGGACCGGGCCGGCAGGGUCACAGGGCCACGCCACACAACGAAUUCCAUGGACUCACACCAAGAGUAGUAAGAAGCAUACUGCAUUGCUCCUGGAGUUGGAGGAACUUGACUGGACUUUUUCCAUGUGCAACUGUAAAGAAAUCAGCAUCUUAUUGGUGAAUUAAUUGUUUCCCUGGAAGAUGGAGCAGAGUGAUUCUCUCAGAGUGGCUAUGCAGCUUGGUGGUCUAGAACCACUGUCAGAUGCUGGAGCCCAUAGGGUGGCUGCAAACCAU